CAGAUGGGAGCUUGCUCCCUGAUGUUAGCGGCGGACGGGUGAGUAACACGUGGGUAACCUGCCUGUAAGACUGGGAUAACUCCGGGAAACCGGGGCUAAUACCGGAUGCUUGUUUGAACCGCAUGGUUCAAACAUAAAAGGUGGCUUCGGCUACCACUUACAGAUGGACCCGCGGCGCAUUAGCUAGUUGGUGAGGUAAUGGCUCACCAAGGCAACGAUGCGUAGCCGACCUGAGAGGGUGAUCGGCCACACUGGGACUGAGACACGGCCCAGACUCCUACGGGAGGCAGCAGUAGGGAAUCUUCCGCAAUGGACGAAAGUCUGACGGAGCAACGCCGCGUGAGUGAUGAAGGUUUUCGGAUCGUAAAGCUCUGUUGUUAGGGAAGAACAAGUGCCGUUCAAAUAGGGCGGCACCUUGACGGUACCUAACCAGAAAGCCACGGCUAACUACGUGCCAGCAGCCGCGGUAAUACGUAGGUGGCAAGCGUUGUCCGGAAUUAUUGGGCGUAAAGGGCUCGCAGGCGGUUUCUUAAGUCUGAUGUGAAAGCCCCCGGCUCAACCGGGGAGGGUCAUUGGAAACUGGGGAACUUGAGUGCAGAAGAG
RNAcentral lists this ribosomal RNA (603 nucleotides) under Bacillus sp. 13532. Its description in RNAcentral is "bacterial SSU rRNA". It matches the Rfam family "Bacterial small subunit ribosomal RNA", at positions 69 to 656 of the family's 1533-position model. The record is from RNAcentral. Lineage: Bacteria; Bacillati; Bacillota; Bacilli; Caryophanales; Bacillaceae.